UACAGAGGCCUCGAGCGUUAAUCGGAAUUACUGGGCGUAAAGCGCGCGUAGGCGGUUUGGUAAGUCGGAUGUGAAAGCCCCGGGCUCAACCUGGGAAUUGCAUUCGAUACUGUCUGACUAGAGUAUGGUAGAGGGAAGUGGAAUUUCCGGUGUAGCGGUGAAAUGCGUAGAUAUCGGAAGGAACACCAGUGGCGAAGGCGACUUCCUGGGCCAAUACUGACGCUGAGGUGCGAAAGCGUGGGGAGCAAACAGG
RNAcentral lists this unclassified non-coding RNA (253 nucleotides) under uncultured Gammaproteobacteria bacterium. Its description in RNAcentral is "contains 16S-23S intergenic spacer region". It matches the Rfam family "Bacterial small subunit ribosomal RNA", at positions 524 to 776 of the family's 1533-position model. The record is from RNAcentral. Lineage: Bacteria; Pseudomonadati; Pseudomonadota; Gammaproteobacteria.